GCUGGGCACAGUGGUGCACGCCUGUAAUCCCAGCAGCUCAGGAGGCUGAGACAGGAGGACUGUGAAUUCAAAUCAGCCUCAGCAAAAGCAAGGCACUAAGCAACUCAGUGGGACCCUGUCUCUA
Molecule: small RNA, 124 nt
Filed under: Marmota monax (woodchuck)
Lineage: Eukaryota; Metazoa; Chordata; Mammalia; Rodentia; Sciuridae
Source: RNAcentral